CUUCCGUAAAACCGUCCACUCGUAACGAGGUAGCAAAUUUUCUUCCCGGAAGUUUCAACAAAACUGACCUUUAGCCUAAUUUGAAUAUUUCGGACACUUUUCGUGUUUUGACUUUUUCGAUCCGGAGUACGGUUUUUCCCGGAGUCGGUCCGGCGGAGUUUUGCGGGUAUUUGAAUUGUUGAUAAUUAUCCAGUUUGUCUCGAUAAGCGUGAAACUAGAUAUUUUGAUUAUUAUAUUAAUUCUUAUCUUGUAAUAAUUGCAAAUGGGACCCGCAUACUAAUGAUUGAUUUAAAACACCCCGUUUUGAUGAUUAUCUCGAAAACCAGUACCGAUUGCACCCCGCUUUAUUAAUAUAAAGCUAUUAAAUACGUAUUUUCAUGUCAUAAACGAUCCAAAGGGGUACCAAUUAUUUGUAUAUAUAAAUAGAUUUUUCUACAGCUGAUUUUCACCCGUAGAAAUCAUUUUCACCAGUUUCUUUUCACAAAUACCGAGAGAAACCGAGCGGUGUUCUUCGUGUUCUUCAUAAUCAAACGAGGAUUUGAAGGUGUUAUUGGAAUCCGAUGGAGGCGUAUGAAUAGUCAAAACGAAGCUAUCGACGCGUAGAAUCAGGUUUAAGCAUCCGUUUAUGUGCAGAUUUUUCAGGAUUUGGACGAGACGUGUACGCUCGAAGACGUCAGGAAGUCGAAAUGGUAUUGCAAAGCGAAUAAGGGAUGAAUCGAGUAAGCGAAGCGAUGUGGCGAAUAGAGUACGGCUAGAGAUGGUCUAGAAAUUAUAAUAUGAAUAGAUUGUGAAAGUGGAAAGAUGAGGUUGAGCUAUGAGACUGGAGUCAGAUUUAAGGCAAGUAUCCUAAACCUUUCUCUUGGAUAUAUUGCAAAUAUUCUGAUCCAUUCCUUUGGUAUAUGUUUCAAAGUUCAUACCUUUCUUUUCAAUGUUCGAAAGUGCGAGUAUUCUGAACCAUUCUUUCUAAUCUUCAAGUUUCUAAAGAAUCUCCGUUUUACAAAUUAAUUCGAAGUUCAGAUUGUCAUUGAAGCAUGUGUUGCUCAGUGAUAGUUAGAGCUUUGAAUGAAUUGGGAUCUUCUUGAUUAUUCAACCCGCCAUUGUCAUGCUGGUUUAGCAGGCUAAAUUCAGUUGCUUAGGCGAUAAUGGAGGAUACUGAAUAGUUGAGGAUUUCCUGAACUGUGAUUUAUGAAAUGAUGGAUCAUGAUUUAUGAAUAGAUUAUUAUCAAAGUUUGAAUUGGAAUUAUUCUGUUGUUGAUGAUAUUUAUGAUGAUGUUCUGUUAAUUUACAUUGGCUUCUUGAAUUGAAUUAGAGAAUUGGAUUAUUGUUUUUAUAUAAACCUGUGGACCAGAUUCGUGGUCAUGUUAGGCCAAUGAGUGCCUUGGAUCCAGUGAUAGAGCAUGGCGGGGCCUGCUCGGGGUUAGUGCGGAACUGAUCAGCUGCCUAACCUUGGUUUUAAUUAAAAUGUGAUAGUCCAAUUCAAUAAUUCUUUGGAAAGAUUGAAUUUCUCAGUUUAAAUGCUGCAAGGUAUUGUAAAUCAUUCUAUACAAUACCAUGAACUCAUGAACUCAGGUUGAAUCCUUUUAUAUCUUGAACUCGUGAACUUCUAUUAUAUCAUUUCAGAACUAUCAUUGUUUAUUAUUACUUGCUGAGCAUUGUUGCUCACCCUUGCUAUUCCUUUCUAACCAUUUCAGAAAGGCUUAAAGAUGAGAUGAUUGAUUGAGAUUGUGAGUAAGGCUAAUGCUAGGCGAGGAGACAGAGUUGAGGAUCCAGUGGUCGAGGAGUGUUCAGAAAAGUUGAUGAGGUUGGUGCAAGCUGGAAUAGUUGACAGUGAUUCUUCUUAUCGAAGAUGAUCUGAUUUGGUAAGAGAUGUUGUGUAAUAAUAGUGGUAGAUUCUAAUUUCAAUACUGUAACCUGGAUGCGAUCCUGUUGUUUUGGGGGGUUUAAAUGUUCUCUUUCAAAUCUUUCAUUUAACGUCUUUCAGAUCUUUUAUUA
Long non-coding RNA from Daucus carota subsp. sativus, 1992 nucleotides. RefSeq lists it as uncharacterized. Lineage: Eukaryota; Viridiplantae; Streptophyta; Magnoliopsida; Apiales; Apiaceae. The record is from RefSeq and is a predicted model, not a curated record. The transcript has 2 exons.